RNAcentral lists this ribosomal RNA (400 nucleotides) under phytoplankton environmental sample. Its description in RNAcentral is "partial small subunit ribosomal RNA". It matches the Rfam family "Eukaryotic small subunit ribosomal RNA", at positions 587 to 992 of the family's 1831-position model. The record is from RNAcentral.
AGCUCCACAAGCAUAUAUUAACGUUGUUGCGGUUAAAAGGCUCGUAGUCAAACUUGUGAUAUUUCUUUCUUAUUCGGCAACUAGUUUGUUGAUUUAGAGAGAAAUAUCAUCCAUUUAAUUAUUACCUCGGCUCUUCGUUGGGUUGGAUGUAAUUCUUAAAUCUUUUACUGUGAAUAAAUCAAAGUGUUCAAGGCAGGCUUUAUGCUCGAAUGUUUUAGCAUGGAAUAAUUCUAUAUGGCUUAUUACUAAUUUGGCUUUUUAGUUCGUAAGCAAUGAUUGAGAGAAAUAGUUGGGGGUGCUUGUACUUAGCGGUCAGCGGUGAAAUGCUAAGACCCGUUAAUGACAAUCUACUGCGAAAGCAUUCACCAAGGAUAGUUUCUUUGAUCAAGAACGAAAGUAC